Oncorhynchus keta (chum salmon) is the source of this 1463-nucleotide long non-coding RNA. RefSeq lists it as uncharacterized. The record is from RefSeq and is a predicted model, not a curated record. Lineage: Eukaryota; Metazoa; Chordata; Actinopteri; Salmoniformes; Salmonidae. The transcript is spliced from 5 exons.
UAAGGGAGGUAGGGGUUAACUGAGUCUGUAGCUGUGUUUGAUAAGGGAGGUAGGGGUUAAUGGAGUCUGUAGCUGUGUUUGAUAAGGGAGGUAGGGGUUAAUGGAGUCUGUAGCUGUGUUUGAUAAGGGAGGUAGGGGUUAACUGAGUCUGUAGCUGUGUUUGAUAAGGGAGGUAGGGGUUAAUGGAGUCUGUAGCUGUGUUUGAUAAGGGAGGUAGGGGUUAACUGAGUCUGUAGCUGUGUUUGAUAAGGGAGGUAGGGGUUAAUGGAGUCUGUAGCUGUGUUUGAUAAGGGAGGUAGGGGUUAACUGAGUCUGUAGCUGUGUUUGAUAAGGGAGGUAGGGGUUAACUGAGUCUGUAGCUGUGUUUGAUAAGGGAGGUAGGGGUUAACUGAGUCUGUAGCUGUGUUUGAUAAGGGAGGUAGGGGUUAACUGAGUCUGUAGCUGUGUUUGAUAAGGGAGGUAGGGGUUAACUGAGUCUGUAGCUGUGUUUGAUAAGGGAGGUAGGGGUUAACUGAGUCUGUAGCUGUGUUUGAUAAGGGAGGUAGGGGUUAACUGAGUCUGUAGCUGUGUUUGAUAAGGGAGGUAGGGGUUAACUGAGUCUGUAGCUGUGUUUGAUAAGGGAGGUAGGGGUUAAUGGAGUCUGUAGCUGUGUUUGAUAAGGGAGGUAGGGGUUAAUGGAGUCUGUAGCUGUGUUUGAUAAGGGAGGUAGAGGUUAACUGAGUCUGUAGCUGUGUUUGAUAAGGGAGGUAGGGGUUAAUGGAGUCUGUAGCUGUGUUUGAAGGGUUUAGCUGGUGUUUAUACUGUUUUUAAUCCAGGUGUGUCAGUGGGCUGAUGAGCAGUAAAGCCCAGGGUCGUCAGGAUGGAAAGUGAUUAGGAUGUGGGUGGAGCGGCGGAAGGAGAGCUUUCGGGUUUUACAUUUGGAAAGGUACACACACACACACACACACACACACACACACACACACACACACACACACACACACACACACACACACACACACACACACACACACACACACACACACACACACACACACACACACACACUCAUGCGCGUACAACUACCCCCCCACCCACACACAGCUGUCUGUCUGUCACUUAGCCCCAUCCUCCUCCUGUUCUACUAUGAGUCUCUGUCUGUCACUUAGCCCCAUCCUCCUCCUGUUCUACUAUGAGUCUCUGUCUGUCACUUAGCCCCAUCCUCCUCCUGUUCUACUAUGAGUCUCUGUCUGUCACUUAGCCCCAUCCUCCUCCUGUUCUACUAUGAGUCUCUGUCUGUCACUUAGCCCCAUCCUCCUCCUGUUCUACUAUGAGUCUCUGUCUGUCACUUAGCCCCAUCCUCCUCCUGUUAUACUAUGAGUCUCUGUCUGUCACUUAGCCCCAUCCUCCUCCUGUUAUACUAUGAGUCUCUGUCUGUCACUUAGCCCCAUCCUCCUCCUGUUUACUAUGAGUCUCUGUCUGUC